This 807-nucleotide ribosomal RNA is filed under the name uncultured bacterium. RNAcentral's name for it is "bacterial SSU rRNA". It matches the Rfam family "Bacterial small subunit ribosomal RNA", at positions 8 to 813 of the family's 1533-position model. The record is from RNAcentral.
AGAGUUUGAUCCUGGCUCAGGAUGAACGCUGGCGGCGUGCUUAACACAUGCAAGUCGAACGAAGCACUUUAUUUGAUUUCCUUCGGGACUGAUUAUUUUGUGACUGAGUGGCGGACGGGUGAGUAACGCGUGGGUAACCUGCCUUGUACAGGGGGAUAACAGUUGGAAACGGCUGCUAAUACCGCAUAAGCGCACGGCAUCGCAUGAUGCAGUGUGAAAAACUCCGGUGGUAUAAGAUGGACCCGCGUUGGAUUAGCUAGUUGGUGAGGUAACGGCCCACCAAGGCGACGAUCCAUAGCCGACCUGAGAGGGUGACCGGCCACAUUGGGACUGAGACACGGCCCAAACUCCUACGGGAGGCAGCAGUGGGGAAUAUUGCACAAUGGGCGAAAGCCUGAUGCAGCAACGCCGCGUGAGUGAAGAAGUAUUUCGGUAUGUAAAGCUCUAUCAGCAGGGAAGAUAAUGACGGUACCUGACUAAGAAGCACCGGCUAAAUACGUGCCAGCAGCCGCGGUAAUACGUAUGGUGCAAGCGUUAUCCGGAUUUACUGGGUGUAAAGGGAGCGCAGGCGGUGCGGCAAGUCUGAUGUGAAAGCCCGGGGCUCAACCCCGGUACUGCAUUGGAAACUGUCGUACUAGAGUGUCGGAGGGGUAAGCGGAAUUCCUAGUGUAGCGGUGAAAUGCGUAGAUAUUAGGAGGAACACCAGUGGCGAAGGCGGCUUACUGGACGACUACUGACGCUGAGGCUCGAAAGCGUGGGGAGCAAACAGGAUUAGAUACCCUGGUAGUCCACGCCGUAAACGAUGAA